Molecule: long non-coding RNA, 2419 nt
Organism: Pocillopora verrucosa
Lineage: Eukaryota; Metazoa; Cnidaria; Anthozoa; Scleractinia; Pocilloporidae
Source: RefSeq, a predicted model, not a curated record
CACACUUGGGUGUCUUUCGUGUGAUCUUCGCACUUCGACUACUAAAAUACGUUCUGACUAUUCUUCUCGGAUGAGGCUGAUUCCUUACGCUCUAACUGUAUGGAGUAACACAAGCGGCGCAAUGGAACACAGCGGAGUCAAAAAUAGAAAACACAGUAGCGAGGAGAGGGAGAGGGAUUGGAAACAAGAAAUGAAGAUAAAGCAAGCAACUCCAUCAUCAUUUUAUAUUGGUGUUGUGGAGAUAAAGUACUUUUAUUUGAGGGCGUCAUGUUAACCUCUUCAUCUUUUGAAAGCAAUUCCUCUUAAUAAGGGAACAUCAGGUCCUUGACAGCAUUGACUUUUGUGUCUGAUGAGUGAGAGGAAUAACUUUUAAGUUAAAGUUGAUAUAAAAAGCCAGAGUUGCCCUGAGGGUGUGUAACAUUUAGGCAGGAGGUCAGCACACUAAGGCAGCAGAAAGAACUCCAAAGGCUAAACUCUCACUUCAAAAGAACUCUAUAAUGCCAGUUGAAGACAGCCCAUAGAUGGGGAGUGAAAAACACCCAUGAAAGGAGUGCUGGAAUGGAUAUAUUUUUAGAAGCUUUUAAUCAUUGGCCUUCUUCCCUUUCUUGGAACUAAUUCAACUUAGAGGAGAUAAACUUUACAGUCAAGUCUUAAUAGUGUGGUUCAAGAGCAAAGUGAAAGGUCAACAACUGCUGGUUAUAGGAUCUGAAGACUCAGAGCUUAGGACUUCCCAGAAGUCACAUCACAAGAAACCAACUCAAAAACGGAAAUUGUCAAGAGGUCUCAUAUGAUUCAUAUGGAUCUUUCUCGUUUUGUGUAAUCCAAUGAAGCUGGUGAUGACUGAUGGAAUAUUCAAAUUUGGUGCCAAUAGACAUUUAGAGCAUCCUUGUCAGAUGAAAGGAAUUUAAUUGUGUAUGGUAAAGGUAAAAGGUAAAGAGAGUUAAUGACUUACACUGUCCUUGAUGCAAGAUGUAAUGAGAAAGUGUCCAACCUUUAAGUCAAGUUGUUCUCUGUGUUUCUGUAUCAUGUUGCAUUCAAGGCAAAACCAGUGAAUAAAAACGUGGCAAAAGGAGAGUAUUAUGUUAGUUGAGGCAAAGUUGUUGUGAAGGAAAACAGGAAGUUUAUUUAAAUUACUGUAUUGAGCAGAACUUGUUUAGAUGAUCAGUCAGCUUAAUCAUGGAGAAGAUAAACAUGAAAGAUACCAACUCUUGUUUAGAGAUGAACAAUUUUGAAGCAAUCUGGAAACAAUCUUAAACUCAGUUUAACACUCAACACCCUAACAUCAGUAUGCAUAUUCUCCAUACUGUUCUCUAUACAUUUCUCAAGUGCUGACAAGGAAAAUGUGUUUAACAAUCAAGAGCUUGUUUAAUUGGUGAUCAUUUUGUUUAUUCUUGUCCUUAAUAUGUGAUUCUGGGGGGAUACUAUUAGGAGAAAUUGGACAUUAGUCACUUCUAGGGAUCAAAUGGUUAAACUUUGCCUACUUAAGUGGGGAAUCUUCUCGAAAUAAUUUUUCUGCUUAAUAGAGUUUUAGAAAUUGAAAGGAGAAUCAACAUGUUGGUCAUCCAAGUACAUUUUACAGAAUAAGAAGUAUUAGCAUAACUGCUCAGGAGGUUAUAGAGAUUUUCAUGUCUUUCAUUGUUCAGGAACUUCACUAUACAGGAGGUGAUUAUGGCAGGGGGUUAAAUUUCAGAUUGAUCUGGCAGCAGUUGGCUUAUUGUAAGGCAAAUCAAACCUCUUAAACACUUUCUUGGAAACAAAUGUAGACAUGAUCAUGAUAAUAUUCAUUGAGUUGUUGCUUCUGUCAUAUGCAUGUUACUAUUGACCAAGUAAUGUACAGGCAAGACAUUGUGUAUAUGUUCUGAGAUAAGUGACGAGUUGGAAGCAAAAUAUUAUUUUGAUAUAUGAUUUGCAAUUUGCUUUGACAAUUACCUGAACAACUAUGACAAAAGAAUUAUUUUACUCAGGCUCAGUGAAUGUUGGUAGAUAAUUCCCAUGCCUUCAUUUCAAGGAUUAUUCAGUAAUAUUCACUUCACCUUCAACAAAAAUUUUUUAAAAAGGCUUUAUGGAAAUUAUGCACACUUUAACUUUUGCUUGGUGUGAUGUUAUUGUCUACUUCAGACUGUAUUUUGCCUUUGAUAUCCUGGUUUUGUUUGAAAUACUUUAAGUAUAUUUGGUCACACUUUUGCACAAUAAUAGUUACAAAUUACAAUUGCAUUGCACUGGAUUUUAAUAAGUCUUCAAGCAUAUUGUAAGCAAUGCCCUUAGAUGAAGUGAUAUAAUGUAAUGACGAAAUCUUGAAAUUUUUAUUUUACUUUUAACCAGAUGAGGAGUACCAUAGACACCUAAGUUACCAUAGUGGUAUUCAGUAUCUUAGUGUUAUAGUUAUGUUUACAUAUAACAAUAAACUGCCUUAUUUAAA